Molecule: ribosomal RNA, 576 nt
Filed under: uncultured Basidiomycota
Lineage: Eukaryota; Fungi; Basidiomycota
Description: eukaryotic LSU rRNA
Rfam family: 5.8S ribosomal RNA (bases 175-328)
Source: RNAcentral
CAUUAUUGAAUCCAAUGGAUGUUGCUGGCCUCUAGGGGCAUGUGCACUCCAAACCAUUUCAAUCCACCUGUGCACUUAUUGUAGUCCCGGAUGUUAAAGUCCGGGUCUAUGUUUUCUAUACACACACUAUAAAAAGUUUAAAGAAUGUCUAGUUGGAAACAUAAAGUUUAAUACAACUUUCAACAAUGGAUCUCUUGGUUCUCGCAUCGAUGAAGAACGCAGCGAAUUGCGAUAUGUAAUGUGAAUUGCAGAAUUCAGUGAAUCAUCGAAUCUUUGAACGCACCUUGCACCCUUUGGUAUUCCGAAGGGUAUGCCUGUUUGAGUGUCAUUAAAUUCUCAACUUCAAAGGAUCCUGUUAUCUUUUGAAGCUUGGACUAUGGAGGUUAUUGCAGGCAAUAAUAAUGUCAGCUCCUCUUAAAUGCAUUAGCGGAACUUUGUUAAGGACCAGCUUUGGUUUGAUAAUACUAUCUAUGCUGUCGCUGUGGACUUUGUUAUGUUCAGCUUCUAAUGGUCUUAGGACUGUCUCUUAUGAGGCAUACAAAUUUAAGCUUGACCUCAAAUCAGGUAGGACUACCC